RNAcentral lists this transfer RNA (84 nucleotides) under Rhizocola hellebori. RNAcentral's name for it is "tRNA-Cys". Lineage: Bacteria; Bacillati; Actinomycetota; Actinomycetes; Micromonosporales; Micromonosporaceae. The record is from RNAcentral.
CCGCCGGUGGCCGAGGCGACCGGCGGCGGCGUCAGCUACAGGUUGGCGCAGUAGCCGAUGCUGAACGUGCUAGCACCGGCAUUC